CGCGAGCCCGGCCACUUGCCGGCCCUCCUCCUACUCCCAGAUGUUCAAGUCGGCGUGCCCCAAGUCCUACAGCUACGCCUUUGAUGACCCCACCAGCACCUUCACCUGCUCCGGCGCCGACUAUACCAUCACCUUCUGCCCGGAAUCGCUGCCGNNNNNNNNNNNNNNNNNNNNUGGAUCCCUUGCCUCCAUCUCCAAUUCCCUUUGUAGCACUCUCUCUUUUCCUCCUAUUUCUCCUUUCUAGUGGUAAUAGUUCUUGCUCCAACCCCUUUAACCUAAUUAUCCUAAACUUCUUCUUUUUUCUAUUUAGAGACUGGAUCUGGAAAAUUCUUUGAUGUUUGUGCUUACAGGGCUAUUGGUGGUGGGCGGCACCACAUUCACAUUCGCGAACAAGUGCGGCUACACGGUGUGGCCGGGGAUCCUGUCGAGCUCCGGCAGCUCGGAGCUCGAGACGACCGGGUUCGAGCUGGCCGCCGGCGGUUCCCGGUCGUUCCAGGCGCCGACCGGGUGGUCCGGCCGGUUCUGGGCCCGGACGGGGUGCACGUUCGACGGCGACGGCAAGGGGUCCUGCGCCACCGGAGACUGCGGGACCGGGGAGGUGGAGUGCAAGGGCGGGGGGGCGGCGCCGCCAGCGACGCUGGCGGAGUUCACCCUAGCGAGGCCGGCGUCGGCCAAGGACUUCUACGACGUGAGCCUGGUGGACGGGUACAACCUGCCGAUGGUGGUGGAGAGCCGCGGCGGCGCCGGCGGGUGCGCGCCGGCGGGAUGCGCGGCGGAUCUUAACCGGCGGUGCCCGGUGGAGCUGAGGAUCGGGGAGGGGGAGGGGGAGGCGUGCCGGAGCGCGUGCGGGGCGUUCGGGAAGCCGGAGUUCUGCUGCAGCGGCGCGUACGCGAGCCCGGCCACUUGCCGGCCCUCCUCCUACUCCCAGAUGUUCAAGUCGGCGUGCCCCAAGUCCUACAGCUACGCCUUUGAUGACCCCACCAGCACCUUCACCUGCUCCGGCGCCGACUAUACCAUCACCUUCUGCCCGGAAUCGCUGCCGAGGUAUGCAUCAACACUAAAAAAAAUGAAUGAAAAAUCUCGAUCAAAAACCAUAUAAUGUUCGUUUUGCUUGCAUUAUUGCAGUUACAAUUAAAAUUUUGUGAGUCUCAUUCUCACAAUUAAAUCGUUCUUGCUCAUGAGAACCUGGAUUGCUUUUUCUUUUUCUUUUCUCUUAUUUUGUUUUUGGGUAUUUGGUUGCCUUCUUUGUUCAUCUUUGUUCGUAAAUUUGGUAUUUAGUAUGACAAGUGCUCAAGUAGAAUAUAUGCUUGCAAACGGUGGGUUCCUCUGCAUAAUUUUUAUUUUUCUUUUGAUUUUUUUUUUGUUUGCUCUCAAUUGCUUUUUCUUUUUCACUGAGCUAAAGAUGAUAAACAAGAGGAAAAUAACAAAGUAAAAAAGAAAAGAAAAGAAAUAAUGUAGUGAAUAGCGAUGAUGAUCUUUCCACUUUGUUCCUCUUGUUUUUUUUUUUCACUUUGUUCUUUUCCCACAUACCGGUUUAGAAGGUUUUAUGACAUGGUUGGGUUCAGCUUCAGCCAAGUAACUUGGAAGAUGUGUAUAAAGUUUGGUCGUUUUUAUGUCUCAACCCAGCUUUUAGUCUUUUUUAUAGAACUUCCUGUUAGGUAGUUGAUUUCGUUAAUCAGCCAAAUAAACUGGAAAAGUGGCUUUUUAAACAUCAGUACCUUCUUUCCCUUUGCUCCACUAAUAAAAGGUCUUGUAUGGGGGUGAAGUUUAGCUGCUAUCUAGGUAGCACUAUCUAGUUCAUUAUGAUGCUAUUUGCUCGGUAUGUGUAGCACUCAGAUGACCUUGAUGAGUGAGACGUAUUUCCUAAACGAUAAGCCGACAAUUAUUAAUUAAUUGUCUAAAUUUUAGUAGAUGUUUCAACAAUCCUGAC
RNAcentral lists this long non-coding RNA (1930 nucleotides) under Phoenix dactylifera (date palm). Its description in RNAcentral is "long non-coding RNA (PDAC_LNC001502)". Lineage: Eukaryota; Viridiplantae; Streptophyta; Magnoliopsida; Arecales; Arecaceae. The record is from RNAcentral.